UACGUAGGGGGCAAGCGUUGUCCGGAAUCAUUGGGCGUAAAGCGCGCGUAGGCGGCCCGGUAAGUCCGUUGUGAAAGUCAAAGGCUCAACCUUUGAACGCCGAUGGAUACUGCCGGGCUAGAGUCCGGAAGAGGCGAGUGGAAUUCCUGGUGUAGCGGUGGAAUGCGCAGAUAUCAGGAGGAACACCAAUAGCGAAGGCAGCUCGCUGGGACGGUACUGACGCUGAGGCGCGAAAGCUAGGGGAGCAAACGGG
This 253-nucleotide ribosomal RNA is filed under the name uncultured bacterium. RNAcentral's name for it is "partial 16S ribosomal RNA". It matches the Rfam family "Bacterial small subunit ribosomal RNA", at positions 524 to 776 of the family's 1533-position model. The record is from RNAcentral.